AUUAAUCAAUGUUGAUCUAAAACUUGAUAUUUGAAUACGUUUAUUAAUAAUUGGAAUGUAACCAACGACGUUUACGUGUGCAUAGGUACUUGUUACAUGAAUGAAUAAAAUAAUUGACGAUGUGCGCAAACGAUUGCGUACGGCAAAU
This is a long non-coding RNA of Photinus pyralis (common eastern firefly), 148 nucleotides long. RefSeq lists it as uncharacterized. The transcript is spliced from 2 exons. NCBI's taxonomy places the organism in Eukaryota, Metazoa, Arthropoda, Insecta, Coleoptera, Lampyridae. The record is from RefSeq and is a predicted model, not a curated record.